Molecule: ribosomal RNA, 211 nt
Filed under: Synechococcus sp. L7C2
Lineage: Bacteria; Bacillati; Cyanobacteriota; Cyanophyceae; Synechococcales; Synechococcaceae
Description: partial 16S ribosomal RNA
Rfam family: Bacterial small subunit ribosomal RNA
Source: RNAcentral
CUAAUACCCCAUAUGCCGAGAGGUGAAAUGAAUAACGCCUGAGGAUGAGCUCGCGUCUGAUUAGCUAGAUUGGUGUGGUAAAGGCUCACCAAGGCUUCGAUCAGUAGCUGGUCUGAGAGGAUGAUCAGCCACACUGCGACUGAGACACGGCCCAGACUCCUACGGGAGGCAGCAGUGGGGAAAUUUCCGCAAUGGGCGCAAGCCUGACGGA